This 253-nucleotide ribosomal RNA is filed under the name uncultured bacterium. RNAcentral's name for it is "partial 16S ribosomal RNA". It matches the Rfam family "Bacterial small subunit ribosomal RNA", at positions 524 to 776 of the family's 1533-position model. RNAcentral also lists the same sequence under 1 other name. The record is from RNAcentral.
UACGAAGGUCCCGAGCGUUGUUCGGAAUCACUGGGCGUAAAGGGAGCGUAGGCUGCACGGUAAGUCAGAUGUGAAAGCCCGGGGCUCAACCCCGGAACUGCAUCCGAUACUGCCGUGCUUGAGGACUGGAGAGGAGUCUGGAAUUCACAGUGGAGCAGUGAAAUGCGUAGAUAUUGUGAGGAACACUAGUAGCGAAGGCGAGACUCUGGACAGAUCCUGACGCUGAGGCUCGAAGGCCAGGGGAGCAAACGGG